GGGGCUGUGGCUCAGUGGUAGAGUGCUCACCUAGCAUGUGGAAGACCCUGGGUUAGAUCCUCAGCACCA
This 69-nucleotide transfer RNA is filed under the name Marmota marmota marmota (Alpine marmot). It matches the Rfam family "tRNA". From Rfam's summary of the family: Transfer RNA (tRNA) molecules are approximately 80 nucleotides in length. Their secondary structure includes four short double-helical elements and three loops (D, anti-codon, and T loops). Further hydrogen bonds mediate the characteristic L-shaped molecular structure. tRNAs have two regions of fundamental functional importance: the anti-codon, which is responsible for specific mRNA codon recognition, and the 3' end, to which the tRNAs corresponding amino acid is attached (by aminoacyl-tRNA synthetases). tRNAs cope with the degeneracy of the genetic code in two manners: having more than one tRNA (with a specific anti-codon) for a particular amino acid; and 'wobble' base-pairing, i.e. permitting non-standard base-pairing at the 3rd anti-codon position. The record is from Rfam by way of RNAcentral. Lineage: Eukaryota; Metazoa; Chordata; Mammalia; Rodentia; Sciuridae. RNAcentral also lists the same sequence under 2 other names.